RNAcentral lists this ribosomal RNA (754 nucleotides) under uncultured bacterium. RNAcentral's name for it is "bacterial SSU rRNA". It matches the Rfam family "Bacterial small subunit ribosomal RNA", at positions 32 to 776 of the family's 1533-position model. The record is from RNAcentral.
CCCGAUGGCGGCUGGCCUUACCAUGCAAGUCGAGCGGCAGCACGGGAAGCUUGCUUCCUGGUGGCGAGCGGCGGACGGGUGAGUAAUGCAUAGAAAUCUGCCCGGUAGUGGGGGAUAACCUGGGGAAACCCAGGCUAAUACCGCAUACGUCCUACGGGAGAAAGCAGGGGCUCUUCGGACCUUGCGCUAUCGGAUGAGUCUAUGUCGGAUUAGCUUGUUGGUGAGGUAAUGGCUCACCAAGGCGACGAUCCGUAGCUGGUCUGAGAGGAUGAUCAGCCACAUCGGGACUGAGACACGGCCCGAACUCCUACGGGAGGCAGCAGUGGGGAAUAUUGGACAAUGGGCGAAAGCCUGAUCCAGCCAUGCCGCGUGUGUGAAGAAGGCCUUCGGGUUGUAAAGCACUUUCAGUGGGGAAGAAAGCCUUGGGGCUAAUACCCUCGAGGAAGGACAUCACCCACAGAAGAAGCACCGGCUAACUCCGUGCCAGCAGCCGCGGUAAUAUACGGAGGGUGCGAGCGUUAAUCGGAAUUACUGGGCGUAAAGCGCGCGUAGGCGGUCUGAUAAGCCGGUUGUGAAAGCCCCGGGCUCAACCUGGGAACGGCAUCCGGAACUGUCAGGCUAGAGUGCAGGAGAGGAAGGUAGAAUUCCCGGUGUAGCGGUGAAAUGCGUAGAGAUCUGGAGGAAUACCGAUGGCGAAGGCAGCCAUCUGGUCAAAAACUGACGCUGAGGAGCGAAAGCGUGGGGAGCAAACAGG